UACGUAGGGGGCGAGCGUUGUCCGGAUUCAUUGGGCGUAAAGAGCUUGUAGGCGGUUCGGCAAGUCGGGUGUGAAAACUCCAGGCUCAACCUGGAGACGCCACCCGAUACUGCUGUGACUUGAGUCCGGUAGGGGACCACGGAAUUCCUGGUGUAGCGGUGAAAUGCGCAGAUAUCAGGAGGAACACCAAUAGCGAAGGCAGCUCGCUGGGACGGUACUGACGCUAAGGCGCGAAAGCGUGGGGAGCGAACAGG
RNAcentral lists this ribosomal RNA (254 nucleotides) under uncultured bacterium. Its description in RNAcentral is "partial 16S ribosomal RNA". It matches the Rfam family "Bacterial small subunit ribosomal RNA", at positions 524 to 776 of the family's 1533-position model. The record is from RNAcentral.